GCAAGCAGCUAGCUCUCUGCAGCUCUCACAUAGUCACCUAUUGAAGCCAAGCAGGGCUGCGCCUGGUGAGUACCUGGAUGGGAGACCACAUGGGAAAGCUAGGUAGCUGUCGGAA
Danio rerio (zebrafish) is the source of this 115-nucleotide ribosomal RNA. Lineage: Eukaryota; Metazoa; Chordata; Actinopteri; Cypriniformes; Danionidae. The record is from Ensembl.